Apis dorsata (giant honeybee) is the source of this 612-nucleotide long non-coding RNA. RefSeq lists it as uncharacterized. Lineage: Eukaryota; Metazoa; Arthropoda; Insecta; Hymenoptera; Apidae. The transcript is spliced from 2 exons. The record is from RefSeq and is a predicted model, not a curated record.
CCAAUCCAUGUAAUAAAACGAGAAGCGUUCAUAUUCGAAUAAGAAAAAUAAUUUUUCGUUGUUUUAACAGGAUUGCAAGGAUGAGCAGAUUUCGUUUACGAUCUUGGCUAAUCUUAAGAAUCGUCGUUUUAUUUCGUGGGUUUUCAAAGAGAUAUUCUGAAUGCGAGAAUAACUCCAAGGGACGAGAAAAUUCGUCACUGGGAUAAUCCUGGGCAGAGUGAGAAACGAGAGAAAAAAAAAAAUACUGAGAAAGAAGAGAAUGUCGAAAGAAAGCAGACGAUUUCGAGAAAAAAAGGCAGCUCUGCUUUCUAAUCUAUUGACACAAAGGAUCCACUAAUAGCGGAACCUUCCUAGAAAGGUCGAGCCACUUUGAAAAUUUCGAGUUUUAAAAACAAAUCCACCUACUAGUCUUGCACAACGACAAGAAGUUGUAAAUUAACGACUGAAAAAGAAUAGUUUGUAACUUGGAACUUUUCUUGUUCAAAGAAAAUUCCUGCUCUUGACUCGAGGUUUCUCCCAUCGAAUCACCGAGUUCACGAGCCAUCAUCGACGAAGCCGCCCGGAUCCCCUUCGAUCCCUGCGCAACAUCUGCUCUGAUCAUGAACGCAUAAA